This 275-nucleotide ribosomal RNA is filed under the name uncultured Pectobacterium sp. RNAcentral describes it as "partial 16S ribosomal RNA". It matches the Rfam family "Bacterial small subunit ribosomal RNA", at positions 338 to 605 of the family's 1533-position model. Lineage: Bacteria; Pseudomonadati; Pseudomonadota; Gammaproteobacteria; Enterobacterales; Pectobacteriaceae. The record is from RNAcentral.
CCUACGGGUGGCUGCAGUGGGGAAUAUUGCACAAUGGGCGCAAGCCUGAUGCAGCCAUGCCGCGUGUGUGAAGAAGGCCUUCGGGUUGUAAAGCACUUUCAGCGAGGAGGAAGGCGGUAAGGUUAAUAACCUUAUCGAUUGACGUUACUCGCAGAAGAAGCACCGGCUAACUCCGUGCCAGCAGCCGCGGUAAUACGGAGGGUGCAAGCGUUAAUCGGAAUGACUGGGCGUAAAGCGCACGCAGGCGGUCUGUUAAGUUGGAUGUGAAAUCCCCG